This 388-nucleotide long non-coding RNA is filed under the name Nicotiana benthamiana. RNAcentral's name for it is "long non-coding RNA (NBEN_LNC011200)". Lineage: Eukaryota; Viridiplantae; Streptophyta; Magnoliopsida; Solanales; Solanaceae. The record is from RNAcentral.
CUCCUCCUCCCCAGGAGAAGCCCACGCAUUUUGACUUUCAUGGUAAGGAUUCUUGAACUUGAGCUUUAGAAGAGGUUUUGGAUCCUUUCUCGUUGAAUUAGAUACUGAAGGUGUACUAACUUUCUCGUCGUUCAGGUCAUCACAAGAAGCGGGCCCAGCUUCUGCAUGUUUCAAGGAAGCUAAUUUGUUGCCCCUUGUCUUUCUCGUUGAAUUAGAUACUGAUGGUGUACUAAUUUUCUCGUCGUUCAGGUCAUCACCAGAAGCGGGCCCAGCUUCUGCAUGUUUCAAGGAAGCCAAUUUGUUACCCCUUGUGGCAGGAACUUCAGCUCCAGCCCUUGUAAUAACACUACCAUCAUUGCUUCUCUUUCCUAAGAUACCAAAAGUCUUG